This 253-nucleotide ribosomal RNA is filed under the name uncultured bacterium. Its description in RNAcentral is "partial 16S ribosomal RNA". It matches the Rfam family "Bacterial small subunit ribosomal RNA", at positions 524 to 776 of the family's 1533-position model. The record is from RNAcentral.
UACAGAGGUGGCAAGCGUUGUUCGGAAUUACUGGGCGUAAAGCGCAUGUAGGCGGCCUAGCAGGUCGGAUGUGAAAUCCCUCGGCUCAACCAAGGAAGUGCAUUCGAAACCGCAAGGCUGGAGUCCCGGAGAGGAUGGUGGAAUUCUCGGUGUAGAGGUGAAAUUCGUAGAUAUCGAGAGGAACACCGGCGGCGAAGGCGGCCAUCUGGACGAGGACUGACGCUGAGAUGCGAAAGCUAGGGGAGCAAACAGG